This 73-nucleotide transfer RNA is filed under the name Titiscania limacina. RNAcentral's name for it is "tRNA-Lys". The record is from RNAcentral. Lineage: Eukaryota; Metazoa; Mollusca; Gastropoda; Cycloneritida; Neritopsidae.
CUUUAGGUGGCCGAGAGAUAGGCAUUAGAUUUUUAAUCUGAAGACGGUUAAGAGUAGUAGUGACCCCUGAAGA